UACAGGGGGCUCGAGCGUUAGUCGGAAUUACUGGGCGUAAAGGGCGCGUAGGCGGACAGUUUAGUCAGAGGUGAAAGCCCAGGGCUCAACCUUGGAAUUGCCUUUGAUACUGACUGUCUUGAGUUCGGGAGAGGUGAGUGGAAUGCCGAGUGUAGAGGUGAAAUUCGUAGAUAUUCGGCGGAACACCAGUGGCGAAGGCGACUCACUGGCCCGAGACUGACGCUGAGGCGCGAAAGCGUGGGGAGCAAACAGG
RNAcentral lists this ribosomal RNA (253 nucleotides) under uncultured bacterium. RNAcentral describes it as "partial 16S ribosomal RNA". It matches the Rfam family "Bacterial small subunit ribosomal RNA", at positions 524 to 776 of the family's 1533-position model. The record is from RNAcentral.